This 2923-nucleotide ribosomal RNA is filed under the name Klebsiella pneumoniae subsp. pneumoniae. RNAcentral's name for it is "23S ribosomal RNA". It matches the Rfam family "Bacterial large subunit ribosomal RNA". The record is from RNAcentral. Lineage: Bacteria; Pseudomonadati; Pseudomonadota; Gammaproteobacteria; Enterobacterales; Enterobacteriaceae.
GGGUUGUGAGGUUAAGCGACUAAGCGUACACGGUGGAUGCCCUGGCAGUCAGAGGCGAUGAAGGACGUGCUAAUCUGCGAAAAGCGUCGGUAAGGUGAUAUGAACCGUUAUAACCGGCGAUGUCCGAAUGGGGAAACCCAGUGCAAUUCGUUGCACUAUCGUUAACUGAAUACAUAGGUUAACGAGGCGAACCGGGGGAACUGAAACAUCUAAGUACCCCGAGGAAAAGAAAUCAACCGAGAUUCCCCCAGUAGCGGCGAGCGAACGGGGAGCAGCCCAGAGUCUGAAUCAGCUUGUGUGUUAGUGGAACGGUCUGGAAAGUCCGACGGUACAGGGUGAUAGUCCCGUACACCAAAAUGCACAGGUUGUGAACUCGAAGAGUAGGGCGGGACACGUGGUAUCCUGUCUGAAUAUGGGGGGACCAUCCUCCAAGGCUAAAUACUCCUGACUGACCGAUAGUGAACCAGUACCGUGAGGGAAAGGCGAAAAGAACCCCGGCGAGGGGAGUGAAAAAGAACCUGAAACCGUGUACGUACAAGCAGUGGGAGCACCUUCGGGUGUGACUGCGUACCUUUUGUAUAAUGGGUCAGCGACUUAUAUUCUGUAGCAAGGUUAACCGUAUAGGGGAGCCGCAGGGAAACCGAGUCUUAACUGGGCGUUAAGUUGCAGGGUAUAGACCCGAAACCCGGUGAUCUAGCCAUGGGCAGGUUGAAGGUUGGGUAACACUAACUGGAGGACCGAACCGACUAAUGUUGAAAAAUUAGCGGAUGACUUGUGGCUGGGGGUGAAAGGCCAAUCAAACCGGGAGAUAGCUGGUUCUCCCCGAAAGCUAUUUAGGUAGCGCCUCGUGAACUCAUCUUCGGGGGUAGAGCACUGUUUCGGCUAGGGGGUCAUCCCGACUUACCAACCCGAUGCAAACUACGAAUACCGAAGAAUGUUAUCACGGGAGACACACGGCGGGUGCUAACGUCCGUCGUGAAGAGGGAAACAACCCAGACCGCCAGCUAAGGUCCCAAAGUCAUGGUUAAGUGGGAAACGAUGUGGGAAGGCACAGACAGCCAGGAUGUUGGCUUAGAAGCAGCCAUCAUUUAAAGAAAGCGUAAUAGCUCACUGGUCGAGUCGGCCUGCGCGGAAGAUGUAACGGGGCUAAACCAUGCACCGAAGCUGCGGCAGCGACACUAUGUGUUGUUGGGUAGGGGAGCGUUCUGUAAGCCUGCGAAGGUGACCUGUGAGGGUUGCUGGAGGUAUCAGAAGUGCGAAUGCUGACAUAAGUAACGAUAAAGCGGGUGAAAAGCCCGCUCGCCGGAAGACCAAGGGUUCCUGUCCAACGUUAAUCGGGGCAGGGUGAGUCGACCCCUAAGGCGAGGCCGAAAGGCGUAGUCGAUGGGAAACAGGUUAAUAUUCCUGUACUUGGUGUUACUGCGAAGGGGGGACGGAGAAGGCUAUGUUAGCCGGGCGACGGUUGUCCCGGUUUAAGCAUGUAGGCUGGUUGUCCAGGCAAAUCCGGAUAAUCAAGGCUGAGGUGUGAUGACGAGGCACUACGGUGCUGAAGUAACAAAUGCCCUGCUUCCAGGAAAAGCCUCUAAGCAUCAGGUAACAUCAAAUCGUACCCCAAACCGACACAGGUGGUCAGGUAGAGAAUACCAAGGCGCUUGAGAGAACUCGGGUGAAGGAACUAGGCAAAAUGGUGCCGUAACUUCGGGAGAAGGCACGCUGGUGUGUAGGUGAAGUCCCUGCGGAUGGAGCUGAGACCAGUCGAAGAUACCAGCUGGCUGCAACUGUUUAUUAAAAACACAGCACUGUGCAAACACGAAAGUGGACGUAUACGGUGUGACGCCUGCCCGGUGCCGGAAGGUUAAUUGAUGGGGUUAUCCGUAAGGAGAAGCUCUUGAUCGAAGCCCCGGUAAACGGCGGCCGUAACUAUAACGGUCCUAAGGUAGCGAAAUUCCUUGUCGGGUAAGUUCCGACCUGCACGAAUGGCGUAAUGAUGGCCAGGCUGUCUCCACCCGAGACUCAGUGAAAUUGAACUCGCUGUGAAGAUGCAGUGUACCCGCGGCAAGACGGAAAGACCCCGUGAACCUUUACUAUAGCUUGACACUGAACAUUGAGCCUUGAUGUGUAGGAUAGGUGGGAGGCUUUGAAGCGUGGACGCCAGUCUGCGUGGAGCCAACCUUGAAAUACCACCCUUUAAUGUUUGAUGUUCUAACGUUGGCCCCUUACCGGGGUUGCGGACAGUGUCUGGUGGGUAGUUUGACUGGGGCGGUCUCCUCCCAAAGCGUAACGGAGGAGCACGAAGGUUAGCUAAUCCUGGUCGGACAUCAGGAGGUUAGUGCAAUGGCAUAAGCUAGCUUGACUGCGAGCGUGACGGCGCGAGCAGGUGCGAAAGCAGGUCAUAGUGAUCCGGUGGUUCUGAAUGGAAGGGCCAUCGCUCAACGGAUAAAAGGUACUCCGGGGAUAACAGGCUGAUACCGCCCAAGAGUUCAUAUCGACGGCGGUGUUUGGCACCUCGAUGUCGGCUCAUCACAUCCUGGGGCUGAAGUAGGUCCCAAGGGUAUGGCUGUUCGCCAUUUAAAGUGGUACGCGAGCUGGGUUUAGAACGUCGUGAGACAGUUCGGUCCCUAUCUGCCGUGGGCGCUGGAGAAUUGAGGGGGGCUGCUCCUAGUACGAGAGGACCGGAGUGGACGCAUCACUGGUGUUCGGGUUGUCAUGCCAAUGGCACUGCCCGGUAGCUAAAUGCGGAAGAGAUAAGUGCUGAAAGCAUCUAAGCACGAAACUUGCCCCGAGAUGAGUUCUCCCUGAGACUAUAAGUCUCCUGAAGGAACGUUGAAGACGACGACGUUGAUAGGCCGGGUGUGUAAGCGCAGCGAUGCGUUGAGCUAACCGGUACUAAUGAACCGUGAGGCUUAACCUUACAACGCCGAAG